This 163-nucleotide small RNA is filed under the name Pongo abelii (Sumatran orangutan). RNAcentral describes it as "processed transcript". Lineage: Eukaryota; Metazoa; Chordata; Mammalia; Primates; Hominidae. The record is from RNAcentral.
AGCCUGGCUCUGGUGUUUCUGCUGAAACUUGGAGAGACCACCUCUGGCCCCUUUCACCAUAUAUUUGCAGUUGUGGAAUUCAAUUCGUCAUAAUCUGUCCCUACACAGCAAGUUCAUUCGUGUGCAGAAUGAAGGAACUGGAAAAAGUUCUUGGUGGAUGCUC